This is a long non-coding RNA of Mizuhopecten yessoensis (Yesso scallop), 191 nucleotides long. RefSeq lists it as uncharacterized. The transcript is spliced from 2 exons. The record is from RefSeq and is a predicted model, not a curated record. Lineage: Eukaryota; Metazoa; Mollusca; Bivalvia; Pectinida; Pectinidae.
CAAAUAUCAUGACUCUAGGCCUGUCCGUUCUUCAGAAGAACAGGCUGGGGAAUUUACAACACAGAGGAAAGUCACCAAUGUGCAUAGAUGCUGUCUAAAGUGAUUAUGAUGUCAUUAUUUGAUGAUUACUUCAAUAUUCACUCUUUCAUUGUAAAUGUAGCAACCAAUAAAUUAUGUGACAUUAAUCAGAA